AGAGUUUGAUCAUGGCUCAGGAUGAACGCUAGCUACAGGCUUAACACAUGCAAGUCGAGGGGCAGCAUGGACCCAGCUUUGCUGGGUUUGAUGGCGACCGGCGCACGGGUGGGUAACGCGUAUCCAACCUGCCCUUUACUCCGGGAUAGUCUCCUGAAAGGGAGUUUAAUACCGGAUGUGUUUGUCUUUCCGCAUGGGAGCGACAAAUAAAGAUUGAUUGGUAAAGGAUGGGGAUGCGUCCCAUUAGCUUGG
RNAcentral lists this ribosomal RNA (252 nucleotides) under uncultured bacterium. Its description in RNAcentral is "partial 16S ribosomal RNA". It matches the Rfam family "Bacterial small subunit ribosomal RNA", at positions 8 to 249 of the family's 1533-position model. The record is from RNAcentral.